UGUGGUAUGCAAUUCUCGGCGGAUCCGGU
RNAcentral lists this small RNA (29 nucleotides) under Bombyx mori (domestic silkworm). RNAcentral describes it as "ovarian small RNA-35930". The record is from RNAcentral. Lineage: Eukaryota; Metazoa; Arthropoda; Insecta; Lepidoptera; Bombycidae.